CUUCAUGAAGCCGGAAUUGCUAGUAAUGGCAGGUCAGCAUACUGCCGUGAAUACGUUCCCGGGCCUUGUACACACCGCCCGUCACACCAUGAGAGUUGGGGAUACCCGAAGCCUGUGAGCUAACUUUAGGGAGGCAGCAGUCGAAGGUAGAAUCAAUGAUUGGGGUGAAGUCGUAACAAGGUAUC
Molecule: ribosomal RNA, 185 nt
Filed under: uncultured bacterium
Lineage: Bacteria
Description: partial 16S ribosomal RNA
Rfam family: Bacterial small subunit ribosomal RNA
Source: RNAcentral